RNAcentral lists this ribosomal RNA (1484 nucleotides) under Microbacterium sp. F6(2009). RNAcentral describes it as "bacterial SSU rRNA". It matches the Rfam family "Bacterial small subunit ribosomal RNA". Lineage: Bacteria; Bacillati; Actinomycetota; Actinomycetes; Micrococcales; Microbacteriaceae. The record is from RNAcentral.
UAGAGUUUGAUCCUGGUCAGGAUGAACGCUGGCGGCGUGCUUAACACAUGCAAGUCGAACGGUGAAGCCAAGCUUGCUUGGUGGAUCAGUGGCGAACGGGUGAGUAACACGUGAGCAACCUGCCCUGGACUCUGGGAUAAGCGCUGGAAACGGCGUCUAAUACUGGAUAUGAGCUCUCAUCGCAUGGUGGGGGUUGGAAAGAUUUUUCGGUCUGGGAUGGGCUCGCGGCCUAUCAGCUUGUUGGUGAGGUAAUGGCUCACCAAGGCGUCGACGGGUAGCCGGCCUGAGAGGGUGACCGGCCACACUGGGACUGAGACACGGCCCAGACUCCUACGGGAGGCAGCAGUGGGGAAUAUUGCACAAUGGGCGGAAGCCUGAUGCAGCAACGCCGCGUGAGGGAUGACGGCCUUCGGGUUGUAAACCUCUUUUAGCAGGGAAGAAGCGAGAGUGACGGUACCUGCAGAAAAAGCGCCGGCUAACUACGUGCCAGCAGCCGCGGUAAUACGUAGGGCGCAAGCGUUAUCCGGAAUUAUUGGGCGUAAAGAGCUCGUAGGCGGUUUGUCGCGUCUGCUGUGAAAUCCCGAGGCUCAACCUCGGGCCUGCAGUGGGUACGGGCAGACUAGAGUGCGGUAGGGGAGAUUGGAAUUCCUGGUGUAGCGGUGGAAUGCGCAGAUAUCAGGAGGAACACCGAUGGCGAAGGCAGAUCUCUGGGCCGUAACUGACGCUGAGGAGCGAAAGGGUGGGGAGCAAACAGGCUUAGAUACCCUGGUAGUCCACCCCGUAAACGUUGGGAACUAGUUGUGGGGACCAUUCCACGGUUUCCGUGACGCAGCUAACGCAUUAAGUUCCCCGCCUGGGGAGUACGGCCGCAAGGCUAAAACUCAAAGGAAUUGACGGGGACCCGCACAAGCGGCGGAGCAUGCGGAUUAAUUCGAUGCAACGCGAAGAACCUUACCAAGGCUUGACAUACACCAGGACACCGUAGAAAUACGGGACUCUUUGGACACUGGUGAACAGGUGGUGCAUGGUUGUCGUCAGCUCGUGUCGUGAGAUGUUGGGUUAAGUCCCGCAACGAGCGCAACCCUCGUUCUAUGUUGCCAGCACGUAAUGGUGGGAACUCAUGAGAUACUGCCGGGGUCAACUCGGAGGAAGGUAGGGAUGACGUCAAAUCAUCAUGCCCCUUAUGUCUUGGGCUUCACGCAUGCUACAAUGGCCGGUACAAAGGGCUGCAAUACCGUGAGGUGGAGCGAAUCCCAAAAAGCCGGUCCCAGUUCGGAUUGAGGUCUGCAACUCGACCUCAUGAAGUCGGAGUCGCUAGUAAUCGCAGAUCAGCAACGCUGCGGUGAAUACGUUCCCGGGUCUUGUACACACCGCCCGUCAAGUCAUGAAAGUCGGUAACACCUGAAGCCGGUGGCCCAACCCUUGUGGAGGGAGCCGUCGAAGGUGGGAUCGGUAAUUAGGACUAAGUCGUAACAAGGUAACCA